RNAcentral lists this ribosomal RNA (131 nucleotides) under Mesocricetus auratus (golden hamster). The record is from RNAcentral. Lineage: Eukaryota; Metazoa; Chordata; Mammalia; Rodentia; Cricetidae.
AACCAAGGCCAUACCACUCUGAAUACACCUUAGUCUCCUGUGAUCUCGAAAGCUAGGCAGGGUCAGGCCUGCUUAACACUUGAGUGGGAGAGUGGUAAAGGAUCCAGAUCUGGAGGUUUAGGGGGUGGAUU